CGGUGACAGGUGGUGCAUUGGUUGUCGUCAGCUCGUGUCGUGAGAUGUUGGGUUAAGUCCCGCAACGAGCCGCAACCCCUAUUGUUACGUUGCCAUCAUUCAGUUGGGCACUCUAGCGAGACUGCCGGUAAUAAACCGGAGGAAGGUGGGAUGACGUCAAAUCAUCAUGCCCCUUAUGACCUGGGCUACACACGUGCUACAAUGGUUGGUACAACGAGUUGCGAGUCGGUGACGGCGAGCUAAUCUCUUAAAGCCAAUCUCAGUUCGGAUUGUAGGCUGCAACUCGCCUACAUGAAGUCGGAAUCGCUAGUAAUCGCGGAUCAGCACGCCGCGGUCGAAUACGUUCCCGGGCCUU
This 355-nucleotide ribosomal RNA is filed under the name uncultured Streptococcus sp. RNAcentral describes it as "bacterial SSU rRNA". It matches the Rfam family "Bacterial small subunit ribosomal RNA", at positions 1029 to 1382 of the family's 1533-position model. Lineage: Bacteria; Bacillati; Bacillota; Bacilli; Lactobacillales; Streptococcaceae. The record is from RNAcentral.